AUGGCGUCGGGGUUCACCAAGUUUGAUGUGGAGAAAUUCGAUGGCACGGGUAACUUCGGUCUAUGGCAGACAAGAGUCAAGGAUAUUCUGGCGCAGCAGGUAAUCUUGAAGGGUUUGCAGGAGACGAAGCCGACCAAGGUUGACAAUGAUGCGUGGGAGGAUAUGCAAGUGCAGGCGGCCGCUACCAUACGGCUUUGUCUUGCGGAUUAG
Molecule: ribosomal RNA, 210 nt
Filed under: Triticum aestivum (bread wheat)
Lineage: Eukaryota; Viridiplantae; Streptophyta; Magnoliopsida; Poales; Poaceae
Description: partial small subunit ribosomal RNA
Source: RNAcentral